GUCACACCCGUUCCCAUACCGAACACGGAAGUUAAGCUCUUUAGCGCCGAUGGUAGUUGGGGGCUUCCCCCUGUGAGAGUAGGACGUCGCUAGGC
RNAcentral lists this ribosomal RNA (95 nucleotides) under Lysinibacillus sphaericus. RNAcentral also lists the same sequence under 34 other names. Lineage: Bacteria; Bacillati; Bacillota; Bacilli; Caryophanales; Bacillaceae. The record is from RNAcentral.